UGCACAAUCAUCAGAAGAUGAACAAGAAAAUGACAGGAAUACAAGAAAGAAGGCCAGAGUUCCGAGAAUGUAUGAAGUCAAGGAUGAUAGGCAUGCAGAAGCAUUCUCAAACCAUAUUUCACUUGCAAAAGAGGAUGCUCUUUCACUAGGUGAAAGGGUUGCAGGGUUGUCAAAUGGCAGAGCUUCUCAUGAUAUGAACAAUAUUAAGGUUGGUCCCGGAGGUUCGAGAGAAGUUUCAUUCUUUUCCAGGAGCUCAGCCAAGUAUGUGGAAGAUGAUGGAGAGAAGGAAACACGAACCGAAAAGAGAAGAGGGGUCCAGUCCUUAAAACUGAAGCCUGAGAGAUCAGGUUUUCAGGGGUCAGGUUCUCGAGGGCGGGGGAGAGGAGGAAGAGGUCGUGGAAUGGGCAGAGGAAGAGGUAGAGGUAGA
RNAcentral lists this unclassified non-coding RNA (427 nucleotides) under Hevea brasiliensis (rubber tree). Lineage: Eukaryota; Viridiplantae; Streptophyta; Magnoliopsida; Malpighiales; Euphorbiaceae. The record is from RNAcentral.